This is a long non-coding RNA of Dermacentor andersoni, 425 nucleotides long. RefSeq lists it as uncharacterized. The record is from RefSeq and is a predicted model, not a curated record. Lineage: Eukaryota; Metazoa; Arthropoda; Arachnida; Ixodida; Ixodidae.
GAGUGCCAAGAAUUCCCCGACUUGGUUCCAGAGUUGUCGGUUUCAAACUUCGAGACCGUGCACUCUGAAAUGGAUUUGCAACCAUCAACGCCCCAAGAUCAAGCCUCCCUGGGAGCACAGCAGCCAUCUGCAACAGCCACAUCUACACAAGGAACACCUAGAGUUAGGGCCAGGAUCCGGAAGGUGUUGACUCCUCGUUCUUUGAAGAGGCUGCAGCGCUACCGUGAUGAGAAUAACCGCCUUCAAGUUGUUGCAAGACUAAAGAAGCCCACAAGACCAAUUGCAUCCCGUGCACAGCUUCUGUGUGAAGCAAGAAGGUACCUCAACAGAGAUUUUUUGGAUAUCUUGAGAGUGCAAAUGCAUUUACAGCCACUGAGAAAACAUGGUAGACGGUGGCCCGUGGAAUUCCGACAGUUUGCCCUCAA